Molecule: small nuclear RNA, 166 nt
Organism: Pteronotus mesoamericanus
Lineage: Eukaryota; Metazoa; Chordata; Mammalia; Chiroptera; Mormoopidae
Product: U1 spliceosomal RNA
Exons: 1
Source: RefSeq, a predicted model, not a curated record
AUACUUACCUGGCAGGGGGAGAACUAUGGUCAAGAAAGUGGCCUCCCCAGGGUGAGGCUUAACCCAUUGCACUCUGGGUGUGCUCACUCCUGUGAUUUUCCCCAAAUGUAGGAAACUCAGUUGCAUAAUUUGUGGUAGUGGGGAACUGCGUUUGUGCUCUCCCCAA